UUUGGUCAUCAUGCGAAUGUGAGAUACACCUGUUCCAUGUCGACACAGAAGUUCAGUCCAUCAUACGCGGAAGACUUGGGGUUGCCCCUGGGAUGAUGCGAGUGGCCAACA
This 111-nucleotide ribosomal RNA is filed under the name Lactococcus cremoris. The record is from RNAcentral. Lineage: Bacteria; Bacillati; Bacillota; Bacilli; Lactobacillales; Streptococcaceae.